GCUGUCCAAAUGGAGCUAUUUUACUUCAUUUCAGAGACACAAUUUUCAAACCUUAAAAUGAAAAUGCAUACUUAAAAAAACUUUAAUUAUCAAAUUCAAAUUAUUAUAGCGUAACACAUGUUUGUUUACACUUAAAGUUUUAUUCGGUUAGGCUUUGUCAAAUGCUAAAGGGAUUUUUCUGUGCCUGGUCGAAUCCCAUCUCUUUAGCACUUAUAUACAUUCAAUAUUGCAACAUUGUGACUUCUAUGUAGCUGUAUGUGUUGCAUAGAGAGACUACACAAUCUGCUUUCCGUCAUUGUUCACCUGUUCCAUGUUUUAAUUGCAUGACAUUGCGUUUGAAUGCUUGCUCUAUCGAAUAUUUUUAC
This 365-nucleotide long non-coding RNA is filed under the name Mytilus galloprovincialis (Mediterranean mussel). Lineage: Eukaryota; Metazoa; Mollusca; Bivalvia; Mytilida; Mytilidae. The record is from RNAcentral.